CCAGGGUCUGCAUUGACGCCGCUAGCACUGCGAAGCAGUGUCUUAGACUGCUGCGUCACUGGGGAGGCCCCGUGAUUAUGGCUUUUUGAGAUACAAAAACUCCAACAAUAUAUACAACCACAUUACCCACCAUAAAUUACAAAACAUCGUCGAUCCCGCCCAAAACGUCAUCAUCAACAACACCACCACCAUCAUCAUUAACAUCGUCAACAAUAUCAAACAGCAACAUGGAGUCACAAGAGCAGCGAUUACAAAGGAAGGUCAUAUCAGUCAGUACAUUGUUAGCUAUCUCUCUGAUAGCUAAUAUCCUCCUUUUGGGUGUUGUCAUCUUGCGGACCCGGGGGAGACGCCAGCAUGAGGGCGUGUCUCUUGCCAUGCCUGAACUGACAGUAUUGAACGCAGUAGAGGUAAAUCAUCUGAUGCAGAACGACAACGGAGAUGCUCUGCAGCACUGACCCCGUUCAGUGGAAUAAUCCAGCUCUCUUCCAUCUGCCACCAUUUGCCCCUCGCUUUCAAUGGACAAAUAUAUAUCCUGAGCCAAAGAAAAGGAGCCAACAGUCCUGCCUGCCUCUCUCUCUCUCUCUCGCUCUCUCUCUCACACACACGCUUCACACUUCCAGGGCUGAGGCCACAACUCUUCUCCUGCCACUGGGAUUCUGGAGUUACUGUUGCAGACAUUAAUAAAAUCUCCCCUCCGUGUGUUUUAAUGAGGAGAAUGGGAGAACAAAUAAAUGUCCGUCUGUCAAGAGUCUCUAAAGAACAAGACAUGGAUUAAGGGAACACGGUAGUCUUGAAUGUCACCCCCUGCCUUCAGCUGUCCGUUCAGCCCAAAGAUAAUAUGUUCAUGUGAAUGGGAAGAAAACAGUGAGAUGAACAACAAGAUGAACCCUUUAGGGACGUACAUUAGAACUAAGAUGGUCCGAUAUUGAGUAUUAUUGUACUUUGCUGAAGUACAAUAUUUUACGAACAAAGCCUGCAUCCAUUCCUGACUGUGUUUAGAUGAUGUGGCUGUGUUACUUGAUGAAAGGGGAUUUUAUGACACAUAGGGAAAGAGAAAUAUCAAAGGAGUAAAUCAGUGAAGAAAAAAAGAUGAAAUAAAUAAAGUGAAGACCAUUUUAUGUACAAAGUGUGUAUAUAUUUAGAGUACCAGUCAAAUUUUGGACACACCUACUAAUUCAAAAAAAAAAAUCGGACUAUUUUCUACAUUGUAGAAUAAUAGUGAAGACAUCAAAACUAUGAAACAACACAUAUGGAAUCAUGUAGUACCCAAAGAAGUGUUAACCAAAUCAAAAUAUGUUCUGUAUUUGAGAUUCUUCAAAGUAGCCACCCUUUGCCUUGAUGACAACUUUGUACAGUCUUGGCAUUCUCUCAACCAGCUCCAUGAGGAAUGCUUUUCCAACAGUCUUGAAGGAGAUCUCACAUAUGCUGAGCACUUGUUGGCUGCUUUUCCUUCACUCUGCAGUCCAACUCAUCCCAAACCAUCUCAAUUGGGUUGAGGUUGGUGAUUGUGGAGGCUAUCAUCUGAUGCAAUACACCAUCACUCUCCUUGGUCAAUAUCCCUUACCCCACCUGGAGGUGUGUUGGGUCAUUGUCCUGUUGAAAACCAAAUGAUAGUCCCACUAAGAGCAAACCAGAUGGGAUGGCAUAUCGCUGCAGAAUGCUGUGGUACCCAUGCUAGUUAACGGUGCCUUGAAUUUUACACAAAUCGCAGGCAGUGUCACCAGCAAAGCACCAUCACACCACCUCCUCCAUGCUUCACGGUGGGAAUCACACAUGCGGAGAUCAUCCGUUCACCUACUCCGUGUCUCACAAAGACACGGCGGUUGGAACCAAAAAUGUCAAAUUUGGACUCAUCAGACCUAAGGACUGAUUACCACCAGUCUAUUGUCCAUUGUUCGUGUUUCUUGGCACAAGCAAGUCUCUUCUUAUUAUUAGUGUCCUUUAGUAGUGGUUUCUUUGCAGCAAUUAGACCAUGAAGGCCUGAUUCACGCAGUCUCCUCUGAACAGUUGAUGUUGAGAUAUGUCUGUUACUUGAACUCUGUGAAGCAUUUUUUUGUGGACUGCAAUCUGAGAUGCAGUUAACUCUUACUUAUCCUCUGCAGCAGAGGUAACUCUGGGUCUUCCUUUCCUGUGGCGGUCCUUGUGAGAGCCAGUUUCAUCAUAGUGCUGAUGGUUUUUGCGACUGCACUUGAAGAAACUUUAAAAGUCCUUGAAAUGUUCCGGAUUGACUGACCUUCAUGUCUUUUCUCUUUGCUUAUUUGAGCAAUUUAUUUCCCAAAUAGGGCUAUCAUCUGUAUACCACCCCUACCUUGUCACAACACAACUGCUUGUCUCAAACAUGCUAAGGUGGAAAGAAGUUCCACAAAUGAACUUUUAACAAGGCACACCUUUUCAUUGAAAUGCAUUCCAGGUGACUACCUCAUGUAGCUGGUUGUGAGAGAAUGUCAAGAGUGUGCGAAGCUGUAAUUAAGGCCAAGGGUGGCUACUUUGAAGAAUCUCAAAUAUAAAAUGCUUUUUGAAUUUUUUUAACACUUUUUUGGUUACUACAUUUAUUCCAUAUGUGUUAUUUCAUAGUUUUGAUGUCUUCACGAUGAUUCUACAAUGCAGAAAAUAGUAAAAAUUAAGAAAAACCCUUGAAUGAGUAUGUGUGUCCAAACUUUUGACUGGUACUGUAAAAACACUACCGUUUAAACGUUUGGGGUCACUUAGAAAUGUCAUUAUUUUCCAUGAAUACAUACAUGAAAUGAGUUGCAAAAUGAAUAGGAAAUAUAGUCAAGAUGUUGACAAGGUUAUAAAUAAUGAUGUUUCGUUGAAAUAAUAAUUGUGUUCUUUGCUUUCAUCAAAGAACCCUCCAUUUGCAGCAAUUACAGCCUUGCAGACCUUUGGCAUUCUAGUUGUCAAUUUGUUGAGGUAAUCUGAAGAGAUUUCGCCCCGUGCUUCCUGAAGCAACUCCCACAAGUUGGACUGGUUGAUGGUCACUUCUUACAUACGGUCAAGCUGCUCUCACAACAGCUCAAUAGGGUUGAUAUCCAGUGACUGUGCUUUGAGUCAUUGAAAUUGGCUCCAACUAAGCGCCGUCCACAGGGUAUGGCAUGGCGUUGCAAAAUGGAGUGAUAGCUUUCCUUCUUCAAGAACCCUUUUCCCCUUUACAAAACACCUACUUUACCACCACCAAAGCACCCCUAGACCAUCACAUUGCCUCCACCAUGCUUGACAGACAGCGUCAACCACUCCUCCAGCAUCUUUUAAAAAAUUCUGCAUCUCACAAAUGUUCUUCUUUGUGAUCCGGACACCUCAUACUUAGAUUUGUCUGUCCAUAAUACUUUUUUUCAAUCUUACCUUGUCCAGUGUCUGUGUUAUUUUGCCCAUCUUAAUCUUUUAUUUUUAUUGGCCAGUCUGAGAUAUGGCUUUUUCUUUGCAACUCUCCCUAGAAGGCCAGCAUCCCGGAGUCGUCUCUUCACUGUUGACGUUGAGACUAGUGUUUUGCAGGUAAUAAUGAAGCAGUUGAGGACUUGGGAGGCGUCUGUUUCUCAAACUAGACACUCUAAUGUACUUGUCCUCUUGCUCAGUUGUGCACCGGGGCCUCCCACUCCUCUUUCUAUUCUGGUUUAGAGACAGUUAGGCUGUUCUGUGAAGGGGAGUAGUACACAGCGUUGCAUGAGAUCUUCAGUUUCUUGGCAAUUUUUCAUGGAAUUGGAAUAGCCUUAAUUUCGCAGAACAAGAGUAGGCGGAUGACUUUCAGAAGAAAGUUCUUUGUUUCUGCCAAUUUUUAGCCCGUAAUCAAACCCACAAAUGCUGAUGCUCCAGAUUCUCAACUAGCCUAAAGGCCAGUUUUAUUGCUUCUUUAAUCAGAAAAAAACGUUUUCAGCUUGUGCCAACAUAAUUGCAAAUGGGUUUUCUAAUGAUCAAUUAGCCUUUUAAAAUUAUAAACUUGGAUUAGCUAACACAACGUGCCAUUUGAACAUGGUUGCUGAUAAUGGACCUCUAUACGCCAAUGUAGAUAUUCGAUUAAAAAUCAGCCAUUUCCAGCUGCAAUAGUCAUUUACAACAUUACUAAUGUCUACACUGUAUUUCUGAUCAAUUUUAUGUUUUUCUAAUGGACAAAAACAAGGACAUUUCUAAGUGACCCCAAACUUUUGAAC
Molecule: long non-coding RNA, 4142 nt
Organism: Oncorhynchus tshawytscha (Chinook salmon)
Lineage: Eukaryota; Metazoa; Chordata; Actinopteri; Salmoniformes; Salmonidae
Source: Ensembl